Molecule: ribosomal RNA, 492 nt
Filed under: uncultured bacterium
Lineage: Bacteria
Description: partial 16S ribosomal RNA
Rfam family: Bacterial small subunit ribosomal RNA
Source: RNAcentral
AGUGAACGCUGGCGGUAGGCCUAACACAUGCAAGUCGAACGGCAGCACAGUAAGAGCUUGCUCUUACGGGUGGCGACUGGCGGACGGGUGAGGAAUACAUCGCACUCUACUCUUUCGUGGGGGUUAACGUCGGGAACCUUACGCUAAUACCGCAUACGACCUACGGGUGAAAGCAGGGGAUCUUCGGCGCUUGUGCGAUUGCUUGAGCCGUUUCGGGAUUGGCUAGUUGGGGGGGCAAAGGCCUACCACGGCGACGAUCCGUAGCUGGUGGGAGAGGAUGAUCAGCCACACUGGAACGGAGACACGGUCCAGACUCCUACGGGAGGCAGCAGUGGGGAAUAUUGGACAAUGGGCGCAAGCCUGAUCCAGCGAUACCGCGUGGGUGAAGAAGGCGUUGGGGUUGUAAAGCCCUUUUGUUGGGAGAGAAAAGCAGCAGGUUAAUACCCCGCUGUUCUGACGGUACCCAAAGAAUAAGCACCGGCUAACUUCGUG